CCUACGGGUGGCUGCAGUCGAGAAUCAUUCACAAUGGGGGAAACCCUGAUGGUGCGACGCCGCGUGGGGGAAUGCAGGUCUUCGGAUUGUAAACCCCUGUUAUGUGGGAGCAAAUUAAAAAGAUAGUACCACAAGAGGAAUAGACGGCUAACUCUGUGCCAGCAGCCGCGGUAAUACAGAGGGCUCAAGCGUUGUUCGGAAUCACUGGGCGUAAAGCGUGCGUAGGCUGUGUCGGAAGUCGUGUGUGAAAGGCGCGGGCUCAACCAGCGGACGGCACAUGAUACUGGGAGGCUAGAGUACGCGGAGGGGAAGCGGAAUUCGUGGUGUAGCGGUGAAAUGCGUAGAUAUCGAGAAGAACACUCGGGGCGAAGGCAGGUUCCUGGACAUUAACUGACGCUGAGGCACGAAGGCCAGGGGAGCGAAAGGGAUUAGAUACCCCUGUAGUC
Molecule: ribosomal RNA, 446 nt
Filed under: uncultured bacterium
Lineage: Bacteria
Description: partial 16S ribosomal RNA
Rfam family: Bacterial small subunit ribosomal RNA
Source: RNAcentral